This 481-nucleotide ribosomal RNA is filed under the name uncultured bacterium. Its description in RNAcentral is "partial 16S ribosomal RNA". It matches the Rfam family "Bacterial small subunit ribosomal RNA", at positions 28 to 507 of the family's 1533-position model. The record is from RNAcentral.
GAUGAACGCUGGCGGCGUGCUUAACACAUGCAAGUCGAACGAAGCAUUUAAGACAGAUUACUUCGGUUUGAAGUCUUUUAUGACUGAGUGGCGGACGGGUGAGUAACGCGUGGGUAACCUGCCUCAUACAGGGGGAUAGCAGCUGGAAACGGCUGGUAAUACCGCAUAAGCGCACAGUACCACAUGGUACAGUGUGAAAAACUCCGGUGGUAUGAGAUGGACCCGCGUCUGAUUAGCUAGUGGGCGGGGUAACGGCCAACCAAGGCGACGAUCAGUAGCCGAGCUGAGAGGGUGACCGGCCACAUUGGGACUGAGACACGGCCCAGACUCCUACGGAAGGCAGCAGUGGGGAAUAUUGCACAAUGGAGGAAACUCUGAUGCAGCGACGCCGCGGGAGUGAAGAAGUAGUUCGCUAUGUAAAGCUCUAUCAGCAGAGAAGAUAGUGACGGUACCUGACUAAGAAGCUCCGGCUAAAUACGUG